Long non-coding RNA from Triticum aestivum (bread wheat), 1351 nucleotides. RefSeq lists it as uncharacterized. The transcript has 7 exons. The record is from RefSeq and is a predicted model, not a curated record. Lineage: Eukaryota; Viridiplantae; Streptophyta; Magnoliopsida; Poales; Poaceae.
CAGAGGAGAGAAAAGAAGAAAAAAAGCCACCAACACCUCGCAUGACCCUGCCCCUUGAUCCCAUCUCCAGCUCCUUCCCGCCGCCACCUCCUGCCCCGCGCCGCCCGCCCCACACCGCCUCGAUCGGGACCGCGUCCCUCCCCAAACGACAGCGAUGGUUGAGGGCGCCGCCCAACUCCUGGCCGACGGAUUCGCUGGCUCCCCGCUCCUCGGGGCCAGCCCAUCCUCCGUGUCGGGUCGAGCAUCGACUUGGAGGCCACUUGGGGCUGCCGCCGGUGCGGGAGUCCCGUGCAGCCGUGAGGGCUGGGGACCGAGCGGCGGGGCCCGUGGUGCGACGCUUGAUGGAUGGCCUGCACAGCGUGGACGACUGCUUAUCUCCCGGGAGGGCCAUAGGCAGGUGCUACCAAUCUGCAUCAAACUGUUGGGCCAUGAGAAGAAAAAGGUUCCAUGAGGGUGUCUAUUUUCAGAACUGGAGAAAGAGCUCGCCUACCAUGCAUGUUGCCUGGUCCGAUGAGCUGUGCUACGCCGAGUGCCCUGUCAGAGUGCAGCCGCACAGCACUGCCCGCUGUUGAGGACCCCGGAGCCUAGACAGUUAGCUCGGCAACUUCCAGCCCCCACCGCCUUUCUCGACAGGCACGACACCCAGGUUUUCGUCUAUGCCUCAUUGGAUGCACUUCCAUUGUAGUGUGCUACCAAACUUUUUUACGAACAGUGUAGUACCAGUUGCUGUGAUAUCAUGUCCUCAGCAAUGCCCCCGAUGGAACGACCACGACCAUGUUGUUGCCUGGAGUCUUUUUUCAUGAUGAUGUCGCUAUUCGCCAUCCCACAGUUUAUGCGGUGGAGCGUCAAUGACCUCAGCGUGUUGCAGGAGAAGACCAUGAAGAUCGGCAAGAAAGAUAUGUGUCAUACAGGUUGAUCAAGGAAGGUGCAACACUGUGAUGUGAGUUGAACACAAGCAUGGCCUACAAUCUCGACGCCCACCAUCCAUGUGCCUUGCAAGCAGCAAUUGUUCACAUCCUUGACAUUUGUCACUGCCCUCUUCUCAUCUAUCCCGACAGUCUCGGUGUCCAGGCAAGAGAGACUCCAGUCUUGCUAGUAGUUCCGCGUGGACUUCGACGUUUAGCUGGUUACCUCAGCUACGAUCUUGUGCCCUCGGCAGGGUCUUGUAGAUAGUCAGGCUUCUCGGUCUUUUUCAAUUGUAGCUGUCUGUACUCAGACAUGUUAUGCUUCCGCUUGUUGCUUGUAUGCUCUGUAUGUUGGGUCAUGAGACCCAUGUUGUAAUACUUGGCUCCUCGCAGCCUAACGAAUAAAUACAUUGAGUUGUAGAGUUUUGUUGUGAUGCCAUGUUGUA